RNAcentral lists this ribosomal RNA (450 nucleotides) under uncultured bacterium. Its description in RNAcentral is "bacterial SSU rRNA". It matches the Rfam family "Bacterial small subunit ribosomal RNA", at positions 354 to 796 of the family's 1533-position model. The record is from RNAcentral.
GUAAGGAAUAUUGGGCAAUGGGCGAAAGCCUGACCCAGCAACGCCGCGUGAAGGACGAAUGUUGUAUGAUUGUAAACUUCUUUUAGAGGGGAAGAAAAACCAAGUUUCGUAAGGUACUUGGAUUGACUGUACCCUUAGAAUAAGCUCCGGCUAACUACGUGCCAGCAGCCGCGGUAAUACGUAGGGGGCAAGCGUUGUCCGGAUUUACUGGGUGUAAAGGGCGUGUAGGCGGGUUUGUUAGUCAAGGGUGAAAUCCUACAGCUUAACUGUAGAACUGCCCUUGAUACUGUAAACCUUGAGUUUGGAAGAGAGAGACGGAAUUCCAGGUGUAGUGGUGAAAUACGUAGAUAUCUGGAAGAACAUCUGUUGCGAAGGCGGUCUCUUAGCCCAACACUGACGCUAAGGCGCGAAAGCAUGGGGAGCAAACAGGAUUAGAAACCCGAGUAGUCC